GGAGAGAUGGCUCAGUGGUUAAGAGCACUGACUGGUCUUCCAGAGGUCCUGAGUUCAAAUCCCAUGGUGGCUCA
Molecule: transfer RNA, 74 nt
Filed under: Mus musculus (house mouse)
Lineage: Eukaryota; Metazoa; Chordata; Mammalia; Rodentia; Muridae
Description: tRNA-Thr
Source: RNAcentral